This 861-nucleotide long non-coding RNA is filed under the name Homo sapiens (human). Its description in RNAcentral is "HSALNT0390021". The record is from RNAcentral. Lineage: Eukaryota; Metazoa; Chordata; Mammalia; Primates; Hominidae.
CCAGAGGGCACUGGCAUGUAGGAGAAGCGGAUUUACCACUAGUAGAUGUUAAUGAAAUUUCAGCUUCUAGGCCCCUAACUUGCAGGACCUGCCCAAGGCCCUGAACUUAAUUUUGUUUUCAUCAUUUGGUAUUUUUUUGUUAAAAGAGCCACCGACCACCUCCCCGCUACCCCAGAACUGCACGUGUUUCUGGCCCUACAAACCCAGAUCGUCCCUUGGAAUAUACACAGGGCAAUUUGUGUAGGAUCACACUGCGCUAAAAGUGAGGCAUGGUGGGCUAGGCGCACUGGCUCACACCUGUAAUCCCAGCACUUUGGGAGACCAAGACAGGAGGUCUUAAGUGAUUAAGCCCAGGAGUUCGAGAUCAGCUUAGACAACAUAGCAAGAUGCUGCCUCUACAAACACACACACCCCCUAUUAUAAUAUGUCAAAAAAAAAAAAAAAAAAAGGAAAAGUGAGGCAUAGAACUGACUUUAUUGUUUUGACUAGGAAAGAGCAAAGGGUUUGGAAUCAAAAGUCCCAACUUCCCCACCUUCUUAAUAGUGUGUGAAUCUGAGUGCCUUAUUAACCUUCCCUGGUCCCAGUUUCGUAUCUGUAAAGUUAGAAUAGCAAUCCUGUUUAAUUUGCUUCUCUCACCAGGGAUCAGAAGGCCAAAUGAGAUGAUGUAUGUAAAAUUGUAAAGUCCUCCACAGAUGGCACUUGCCACAUUACAGAGAACUUGAGACCCCCCCCCACCAAUAACGUUCCAAAUCUUCCACAUGCAGAUCUGGAGUCCAGGUGUCCUGGCUCCUGGCCCUGAACUUUUUGGCUGGGCCAAGGGGCUUUUCGGUAAAGUGCUUUGGAAUAAAACAGGAUGAACAU